This 2561-nucleotide long non-coding RNA is filed under the name Nicotiana benthamiana. RNAcentral's name for it is "long non-coding RNA (NBEN_LNC031710)". Lineage: Eukaryota; Viridiplantae; Streptophyta; Magnoliopsida; Solanales; Solanaceae. The record is from RNAcentral.
CCCCAAAAAAAAAUUCCUUAACUUUCACCUUGAAAAUAGCUCUUUUGUUUGGGUCAUUCAUCCCUGUUGUUAAAGGUGCUCUUAAGCCCUGAAGCGAGCGAUGUUGAGCACUUCGUUUCACUUAGCAGGCGCUUCAGUGUCGUAAUCUACGCUCUAAGGAAUACUUAUUCUUACCAAUGAGUGUAAUCCUAAAUAUAUUACACUAAACAAUUCAGAUUUGUUAUUCUUGCUUGGAAUUAUUAAUCUUGGACUACACAUAUGUAUUUUUUAUUUUUUCUCCAUUUGCGCCUUUUUUCACUAAAGCCCACGCUUUAUUUGCGCUUUGCGCUUAAAGCCCCAAUAGACCUUAGAGCUUUUUUGCGCUUUUCGCCUUUGAUAACACUACUUCACAUCACCUCCUUCGUGAACGACCCACAACCAAAAUACAUGCACAUACAUUUUUACCUCUUUAAUAACACUGCUAUCCCCCUCACGUUUCAUGUAAUGGUUUUAAUAUCCAUUAACUACUGCUUUUCCUUUCCCAUCCUUAAUCCCUCCCUCAUUCUUUUCCCUCCUUUUGUCCCUAAACCUUUUCUUAUACACCAUAAUGUUCCCCCUCCCUCCCCUUCCCGUCAUGUCUUCUAGUCAACUCCCACUCUGUUGCUAUCCUCACUUUCCCUCUCCUAUUCCCCACUACCUCCUUUGGGUCAUAUUCAAUGUCAAGUAGAAGUUGUAUGGCCCUAUCCCCCUUGCCCUAAAAAGUAAACAACAAGAAUCCCAAUAUUUUUCCACAAGUGGGGUUUGGGGAGGGUGAGAUGUACGUGAGAUGUACGCAGUCUUACCCCUACCCUAUAAGGACAGAGAGGUUGUUUCCGAUAGACCCUCUAAAGUAACACCCAAAGAUUCCCCAAAGUUGAGGUAUUUGUUCCCUCGCCAAUCCGGACAAUCUCCUUCCACCUUUGAAGAUUGCUAAGAGUGGAUAUUCUCCUCCACUUCCACAUUUUCUCCUCUAAGAUUACCCAUGUACUCAACUAAUUGAUCAUUUACCUAAGUUGCUCGAACUCUUCAAUUUUGGUGUCGUCCCUGUUCCGAUACGAGACUUGGACGGGUGCUGGAGCGGGAAAUGUUCCGGAUAUGGUCAUCCGACUUCGGACACUUUGAACGGAGUCCAUCGACAAAUUUGGGAGAAAAAUUGAGAUUUUGAUUUCUCAAAAUCAAAAAUUAAACACAUUUAAGUUAUGGAAAAUGGCAUACCUUCAAUGUUGUAGUAUUUUUGUCUCAUAUUUGAUGUUUUGUGUGUCGGAGAAAACAAAAAUUCAAAGUGUCAUGUUCUAAUUUUGUACUUCAUGUAGACCUAGCAUGUAGAUUUACAAUAUUCUUAUAGCUCUAUUUUUUAUUAUUUUGAAUUUUCUUAGCCGUAUCUCCGCACCCGUAGCCAUAUCCGGAUUCGCACCCUCAAAUCUUAAAAUUUAAAUUUUGCCGAAUCCGAUAUCGGAACCGUCCCCGUAUCGGAUACGCGCACCCGAGUCCGAGCAACUUAGUCCUUUACCACACCACUUCCAACGCUCACCUCCACCCAAUUGAAAAUUCUCCCUCACUUCCCAAGACCACGUAGGCCUCUCUAACCCUCCGGGGCAGGGGUAAGGUCUGCGUACACUCUACCCUCCCCAGACCCCACUUGUGGUAUUUUACUAGGUCUGUUGUUGUUGCCCAAGACCACGUAGAUACCCCCCACCCCCACGUCUCUUUCCUUCAACACAUUCUGUUUUAAUGGUCUCACUGGAGAACCCACGUUGUUCGGGGUCAUUGCGACUUGGCAGCGAACCAUUAGUGACUCGGCAAUAUCCUUGGGAGGCCGGCUUUGUGAAAUUAGAGGCCAACGGAGAAGGAUCUUUAAAUUUUAGAGUCUGUCCAGCUGUCCUCCUCCUUUCUCCCCCAGUUAAACUGAUUUACGUUGGUUUCUGCAUGCUGCAUGCUUUAAUUGACUCUCAUGGAGACCUCCCAUCCUUAAUCUCCCCCUCCUUCCUUUCCCUUGAUCCAUCCUUAGCCUCCUUUCUUUCCCCUGCGUUUGAUAUCGGUCUAAUUUUGGUCCUUUAAACCAUUUGGUUUUUGGGUAUUGAGGCAGUUUUGGACUUAAUGAAAUGAUUCAUCCUACUCAACCAAACUGGUUCCCUUAUCCUAGGGUACUGUAGUCCUUUUUGAAAUUGACUCCAUUACCAAUUUAACUCUCUAAACCUCCUCUUUUGUGAAUGCCUUUUGCAAAAACUGAAAAAGAAUUUUAGUUUUUCAAAACAAAUGCCACCUAAAUUGAACUUGCUGGAAAUUUUAAUCCAAAGAAAUUGCUGGAAUUUUUUUUUCCAGAAAGUAGCCAAAAGAUUUUGCACAAUGGCCUGAAUCGACCCUCGAGCUGCAGUAUGCAAAAGACUGGAAUGGCUAGAAAGUGAACGAUUUGCAUGGAAAGUCUACAUUGGCGGAAUAGGGUUCCAACCACCAGGAAGUUUAAAAUUAAGUUGGAGUUGGAAGAGGACAUGACCCUUGAUAGGAAAGUCUGGAGGUCUAGUAUCAGGGUUGUAGGAUAGGGG